Molecule: unclassified non-coding RNA, 294 nt
Filed under: uncultured fungus
Lineage: Eukaryota; Fungi
Description: sequence contains ITS1
Source: RNAcentral
CGGACUACAAGGGUUUCUAAUCCUGUUUGCUCCCCACGCUUUCGUACAUGAGCGUCAGUAUUGAGCCAGUGAGCCGCCUUCGCCACCGGUGUUCCUCCUAAUAUCUACGAAUUUCACCUCUACGCUAGGAAUUCCACUCACCUCUCUCAAUCUCUAGCUUGCCAGUUUUGGAGGCAGUUCCGGGGUUGAGCCCCGGGAUUUCACCCCCAACUUGACAAGCCGCCUGCGUACCCUUUACGCCCAGUAAAUCCGAACAACGCUAGCCCCCUUCGUAUUACCGCGGCUGCUGGCACG